AUUGAACGCUGGCGGCAGGCCUAACACAUGCAAGUCGAACGGUAACAGAAAGCAGCUUGCUGCUUUGCUGACGAGUGGCGGACGGGUGAGUAAUGUCUGGGAAACUGCCUGAUGGAGGGGGAUAACUACUGGAAACGGUAGCUAAUACCGCAUAACGUCGCAAGACCAAAGAGGGGGACCUUCGGGCCUCUUGCCAUCGGAUGUGCCCAGAUGGGAUUAGCUUGUUGGUGGGGUAACGGCUCACCAAGGCGACGAUCCCUAGCUGGUCUGAGAGGAUGACCAGCCACACUGGAACUGAGACACGGUCCAGACUCCUACGGGAGGCAGCAGUGGGGAAUAUUGCACAAUGGGCGCAAGCCUGAUGCAGCCAUGCCGCGUGUAUGAAGAAGGCCUUCGGGUUGUAAAGUACUUUCAGCGGGGAGGAAGGGAGUAAAGUUAAUACCUUUGCUCAUUGACGUUACCCGAAGAAGAAGCACCGGCUAACUCCGUG
RNAcentral lists this ribosomal RNA (490 nucleotides) under uncultured bacterium. RNAcentral's name for it is "partial 16S ribosomal RNA". It matches the Rfam family "Bacterial small subunit ribosomal RNA", at positions 30 to 507 of the family's 1533-position model. The record is from RNAcentral.